GAUGAACGCUGGCGGCGUGCCUAAUACAUGCAAGUCGAGCGAACAGACGAGGAGCUUGCUCCUCUGACGUUAGCGGCGGACGGGUGAGUAACACGUGGAUAACCUACCUAUAAGACUGGGAUAACUUCGGGAAACCGGAGCUAAUACCGGAUAAUAUAUUGAACCGCAUGGUUCAAUAGUGAAAGACGGUUUUGCUGUCACUUAUAGAUGGAUCCGCGCCGCAUUAGCUAGUUGGUAAGGUAACGGCUUACCAAGGCGACGAUGCGUAGCCGACCUGAGAGGGUGAUCGGCCACACUGGAACUGAGACACGGUCCAGACUCCUACGGGAGGCAGAAGUAGGGAAUCUUCCGCAAUGGGCGAAAGCUUGACGGAGCAACGCCGCGUGAGUGAUGAAGGUCUUCGGAUCGUAAAACUCUGUUAUUAGGGAAGAACAAAUGUGUAAGUAACUAUGCACGUCUUGACGGUACCUAAUCAGAAAGCCACGGCUAACUACGUG
This 497-nucleotide ribosomal RNA is filed under the name uncultured bacterium. RNAcentral's name for it is "partial 16S ribosomal RNA". It matches the Rfam family "Bacterial small subunit ribosomal RNA", at positions 28 to 507 of the family's 1533-position model. The record is from RNAcentral.